This is a long non-coding RNA of Branchiostoma belcheri (Belcher's lancelet), 3390 nucleotides long. RefSeq lists it as uncharacterized. The transcript has 3 exons. NCBI's taxonomy places the organism in Eukaryota, Metazoa, Chordata, Leptocardii, Amphioxiformes, Branchiostomatidae. The record is from RefSeq and is a predicted model, not a curated record.
CUUUCAUGUGUUCUUCUUCAUUCAUCAGCACUUGAGCUUAUUGUUCUUUAAUGUGUGGUCAAAUAAUAACCAGUUCUUUUUCUUCUUCAUUCAUCAGCAGAUGAACUUCAAGACAGCCUUCAGAGAACCGUGGCUCAGCGUGCUUUGGACUCGGUCCGUCCUGCUCCAAUGACAAGUCUUCAGACUAAGAUUGCAGGAUCACUUCAGUGAGGUGGAAGCACAAUACAGUCAAGUGCCAGCGAAAAGAACAUCCUGGAGACACUGAGAUCUGAGAUGCAGCCACAGUCAUAGCAGUUGAAGACAGUCUUCAGAGAACUGUGGCUCAGCGUGCUCUGGACUCGGUCCGUCCUGCUCCAAAGAUUGCAGGAUCACUUCAGUGAGGUGGGAGCACAAUUCAGCAAUGCAAAGCGCAGUACAGUCAAGUGCCAGUGAAAAGAAUACAUCCUGGAGACACUGAGAUGCAGCCACAGUCAUUUUUAUAGCAGUUGAAGACAGCCUUCAGAGAACUGUGGCUCAGCGUGCUUUUGAAGCACAAGACAGCACUACAUCUGCACGUCGAAUCAAAGGAUUCAGAGAGGCGGGAGCACAUUGCAGCAUGCAAUACAUGUACAGAAGAAACACUGCAACUUGUCUUCGCAGCUAUGUGUUGGAACUGUCUCUACCCCUGGUAAAACGGAAAAGAGAACUGUACUGUUCCGAAUGCUGAAGGUGACCAUCACGACAGUGAGUCUUGCAAGCCCUUCUGAAGACAGCGAGGGAACAACCUUUGACCAUUUGGUAACUUUGGGGCAGAGAAGAGCCAAGUAAUCAUGAAAGGUAAUGCUGACAAGGGAGAGAUGUUUGGGCUUGGAUCCUGUGUGACGUUACACUCCCUAACAGUCCACCGUUGUCUGUGACGCUGCUUUGGAAUGAACCCUGCAACAUGGAUCUCGACGAACAGCCUGGAGAACAAGCUGGAUGGAACUUAACCUGGAGUGUUACAAGCUUUCCUGUUCUAAACAAACCCGUGGCAACAUCAGCCCAGAAAGAACUGUACUGAAAAAUUCCUGCACUUGAUCUAAAUCAUGGAGAUUGCACCAUAUUCAUGCCUUUUGGGUGGAACUGACUCAUUGAACGACUGGCUAUUACAACACAGAGAUGGAUCAAAACAUACUGGGUAAGACCAGUUUUGACACUACACUGACCUGGGAGGUGGCUUAAAGAAAAAAAAAAGAAAAAAAAGAAAAACGUCCCAAAAGCAGCAUCUGUGUGUCAACUUAGAGGUGACAUACAAUUGUUACACUUGUAGCCGAGACUAUAAAAAAAACAGUCUCGACAGGUAGCUACUAGCAGUUGCCACUUAGUUACGAUAACCUGAAAAAAUCAAAUACUAGUAGAUACGCUUGUAUGUGUAGCCGAGACUCUAAAAAAAAAAACAGUCUCGCCAAGUAGCUGCUUACUUUCUUAUAGGAUGAAGUCAGUAGGUUAUAUAACAGUUUGAUAUAAGCUCUGAAAUCACAACAUCAAUUUGAAUGCUAGGCAUUUUUUGCCUGUUUCUCUUUCCGAAUGUCUAUAGUGUUAAGUCAACCAUUUGACGAAGCAGGACCUUCCUUGAAGUUGAUUAACUUGUGACAAGGUCUUGCAUAACUGGUAUUUAUUGUUCUCUUUAUCUAAGUGCGUGCAUGUGUUUGUGUGUAUGUUACAAUGAAAAGGACAUAGGACAUCCCUUCAAGCUGGUGAACUUGAUAAAUGUCCGAGUUUGCAUAAUAAUUGUGUGUAUGUGUUACAUGUAUCAGAACAGAAAGCAGUACCUUUGCUUAAUAUUUAAGUUGAUAAACUUCCAAAAACGUUUGCAUAAUUUAAUUGAUAUUUUGUUAAUCAUAACUUUAUUUCUCUCUAACUAAGGUAGAUAUAGAUAAGCAUAUAGUACUCCACUUGUACUAUUUUAAAGUGUGUCAGAGAGGGGUAGCACUUCUACUGGAUGGCAAGUGGCAUUCUGCAGGGUAGCUGUGGGGUGGCCCAUCCGUAUUAGUCCCCAUCUGGCACAUUAUAGAUAAGUUAAGUUGACCCGUUAACUAGGUUAAUUGGUUAGCUUAAAGGUUAGGUUAGGUAAUAGGUUAGUAGGUUAGAUAAUAGGUUAAGUAAUAGGUUAGUUUACUUACAGGUUAGUUGACAGUUAACAGGUUAGUGAAUUAUAGGUUAGUCUACUUUCUUAUAGUUUAGUAGGUAAUAUGUUCUCAGUUAGUAGGUUAGUUUACUUAUAGGUUAGGUAAUAGCCAAGACUCUGUCUCGCCCAGUAGCUGCUAGCAAUGGCAACUUAAUGUAUGUGUAGCGCAGACUCUGAAAAAAAAACAGUCUCACCAAGCAGCAGCUUACUUCCCAAUAGGUUAGGUAAUAGAUUAUUUAGUAUGUUAAUUUACUUACUUAUAUGUUAGUCAAUAGGUUAGGUAUACAUGUAAGUCUUUGAAUGACAAUAAUGUGUAAUUAUAAUGAAUCAUCACCCUGUGGUCAGUUAAACUUAAGGCAUCAAUCAUAUUGAAUCGAUUCCGUUUAUGCGGCAAGUUGGUGAUUAGAUUUAAAUCACCCGAAUGGAGGCCUGGCGGACCCCAUCUCGUAUUGGCACGCCAUACGGUGAUCUACUUAAUCACCCUUGCAAAAAGCCCCAUCCCAUCAACCCCCAAGAAAAACAACAGUGUCAUACUUCUAUGAUACUUAAGCAAGAGUAAGUCCAACAAGGUAACAAUCCCAAUGAUCCUUUCUCCCCAGACCUACCCUUGUGUACCCAGGACUUGAAAGGUGCUUUAUUACACGUAAUCUACUGUAGGGUAUGGACAACACCUUGUGAUGGAAAAGGUUUACAGAAAUGAGUUGGAUGGCAUGUUUGGAUUUCUUCUGGUUUUUGAUUAAGAGACUCUGUUGACUCAAAGUUUGAGUGCUUGAAUUGCCUUGGCCAGGUAGACCAAGGUUCACUAAGGAAUAGGCAAGUAUUCAUGGCCUGCCUACCUGCCUACUUUCCUUAAGUACUCGGGCCAGGAUCUGGCCCCUUCCUCCCCUCUGUCUAGAUUAGAUACAGAUACAGAUAGAUUCUCCGACCCGCUCUGUCCAAGGCCAGUGUCUCAGCUUACCAGGUAUUCAUGGCUUGGGAAAGUAAUUAUCAAUACAUUUGUAUUGUGUAUCUUCCAGCUGGUUUUGAGUUUAUUACUGUUUGGCCACUGCAGCCAAAAUGUCCCGUAUUUUCAAUGGCAGAUAUACAGCUAUAUAUUGUGAAUGAUGACAUCUAAUAUUUGGCAUUAGAUACAAACAGUGCCAGACAACGGCUUUUUCAUGUGGAACAUGCGGAAAGCACUGCUGGAGCAAUGCUGGACUAGCGGCAAACUGCCGAACUCGAUUAUCGUAUGUGAUCGAUCUUCC